Molecule: ribosomal RNA, 468 nt
Filed under: uncultured bacterium
Lineage: Bacteria
Description: partial 16S ribosomal RNA
Rfam family: Bacterial small subunit ribosomal RNA
Source: RNAcentral
GACGAACGCUGGCGGCGUGCUUAACACAUGCAAGUCGAACGGAAAGGCCCUGCUUUUGUGGGGUGCUCGAGUGGCGAACGGGUGAGUAACACGUGAGUAACCUGCCCUUGACUUUGGGAUAACUUCAGGAAACUGGGGCUAAUACCGGAUAGGAGCUCCUGCUGCAUGGUGGGGGUUGGAAAGUUUCGGCGGUUGGGGAUGGACUCGCGGCUUAUCAGCUUGUUGGUGGGGUAGUGGCUUACCAAGGCUUUGACGGGUAGCCGGCCUGGGAGGGUGACCGGCCACAUUGGGACUGCGAUACGGCCCAGACUCCUACGGGAGGCAGCAGUGGAGAAUAUUGCACAAUGGGCGGAAGCCUGAUGCAGCAACGCCGCGUGCGGGAUGACGGCCUUCGGGUUGUAAACCGCUUUCGCCUGUGACGAAGCGUGAGUGACGGUAAUGGGUAAAGAAGCACCGGCUAACUACGUG